AUGAUGCAGAUCCACACCGACCAUAGCUGUAGCUAUAUGAUGCAGAUCCACACCGACCAUAGCUGUAGCUAUAUGAUGCAGAUCCACACCGACCAUAGCUGUAGCUAUAUGAUGCAGAUCCACACCGACCAUAGCUGUAGCUAUAUGAUGCAGAUCCACACCGACCAUAGCUGUAGCUAUAUGAUGCAGAUCCACACCGACCAUAGCUGUAGCUAUAUGAUGCAGAUCCACACCGACCAUAGCUGUAGCUAUAUGAUGCAGAUCCACACCGACCAUAGCUGUAGCUAUAUGAUGCAGAUCCACACCGACCAUAGCUGUAGCUAUAUGAUGCAGAUCCACACCGACCAUAGCUGUAGCUAUAUGAUGCAGAUCCACACCGACCAUAGCUGUAGCUAUAUGAUGCAGAUCCACACCGACCAUAGCUGUAGCUAUAUGAUGCAGAUCCACACCGACCAUAGCUGUAGCUAUAUGAUGCAGAUCCACACCGACCAUAGCUGUAGCUAUAUGAUGCAGAUCCACACCGACCAUAGCUGUAGCUAUAUGAUGCAGAUCCACACCGACCAUAGCUGUAGCUAUAUGAUGCAGAUCCACACCGACCAUAGCUGUAGCUAUAUGAUGCAGAUCCACACCGACCAUAGCUGUAGCUAUAUGAUGCAGAUCCACACCGACCAUAGCUGUAGCUAUAUGAUGCAGAUCCACACCGACCAUAGCUGUAGCUAUAUGAUGCAGAUCCACACCGACCAUAGCUGUAGCUAUAUGAUGCAGAUCCACACCGACCAUAGCUGUAGCUAUAUGAUGCAGAUCCACACCGACCAUAGCUGUAGCUAUAUGAUGCAGAUCCACACCGACCAUAGCUGUAGCUAUAUGAUGCAGAUCCACACCGACCAUAGCUGUAGCUAUAUGAUGCAGAUCCACACCGACCAUAGCUGUAGCUAUAUGAUGCAGAUCCACACCGACCAUAGCUGUAGCUAUAUGAUGCAGAUCCACACCGACCAUAGCUGUAGCUAUAUGAUGCAGAUCCACACCGACCAUAGCUGUAGCUAUAUGAUGCAGAUCCACACCGACCAUAGCUGUAGCUAUAUGAUGCAGAUCCACACCAACCAUAGCUGUAGCUAUAUGAUGCAGAUCCACACCGACCAUAGCUGUAGCUAUAUGAUGCAGAUCCACACCGACCAUAGCUGUAGCUAUAUGAUGCAGAUCCACACCGACCAUAGCUGUAGCUAUAUGAUGCAGAUCCACACCGACCAUAGCUGUAGCUAUAUGAUGCAGAUCCACACCGACCAUAGCUGUAGCUAUAUGAUGCAGAUCCACACCGACCAUAGCUGUAGCUAUAUGAUGCAGAUCCACACCGACCAUAGCUGUAGCUAUAUGAUGCAGAUCCACACCGACCAUAGCUGUGGCUAUAUGAUGCAGAUCCACACCGACCAUAGCUGUAGCUAUAUGAUGCAGAUGCAGAAGCACAUUAUCUUCAAUAUGAAGAUAAAAGUCAAUAUACCUUUGCUUCAAUUGACUCAAGAUUACACACAUCAAAUGUGGGGAUCUCAUUUUAACCAGGGGCAGCUAAAGACAGGAACAGAUCUGUUACUCAUACACAUAUUUGCUGUUUCUUGGUUGGUCUUUUUUCUCCCGGUCUUUUCCCUCAGUGGGAUUUUCCCAACGUCUUGA
Long non-coding RNA from Gadus morhua (Atlantic cod), 1665 nucleotides. Lineage: Eukaryota; Metazoa; Chordata; Actinopteri; Gadiformes; Gadidae. The record is from Ensembl.